UUGCCGCCCCUACCUGCGCUGCCAAGUAUAAGCCGUGCCAGCUAUUCCCGUUGCUAACCCAGAGAUCUGUAUCGCUGCAUAGCCGAUUCGCCGUGUAAAGGGGGCUUUAUCGUCGUGUGCAAUUGAGCAGCUCCGGCGCCUAGUCGCCGGUGCCACCGGCGGCGCGCAUUUCUUAAGAUAUAGCAAAGCGCGCAACCCGCGUGCUCAAAUCGGCGCUCUGCUAGCUCAAAGUACGUUCGGAAUGAGACGCAGAGCGUUGUUGCGCAGACACGCUUGAAUAAUAUGGGCGUAGAACACGAAAGGUCCCGGAGGAGCGCGCAAUAUCAGCGCCGCUCAAGGCAACCCACAACGAGUGCCAAGUUCUGGCAAUAACCUGCUCCAGUUUUGCCGGCUGUUCGCGCAAGACUGGAUCCCUCAAACUUGGUUGCCAUCACCAGCAGACACAGGCAGGCAGUGGAUGAGACAAUUUGCAAACUCCAAACAAUGGCA
RNAcentral lists this long non-coding RNA (489 nucleotides) under Dermacentor andersoni. Its description in RNAcentral is "uncharacterized LOC126548140". The record is from RNAcentral. Lineage: Eukaryota; Metazoa; Arthropoda; Arachnida; Ixodida; Ixodidae.